GACGAACGCUGGCGGCGUGCUUAACACAUGCAAGUCGAACGGUAAGGCCCUUCGGGGUACACGAGUGGCGAACGGGGGAGUAACACGUGGGUGAUCUGCCCUGCACUUCGGGAUAAGCCUGGGAAACUGGGUCUAAUACCGGAUAGGACUCCGGACUGCAUGGUCUGGGGUGGAAGGCUUUUGCGGUGGGGGAUGGGCCCGCGGCCUAUCAGCUUGUUGGUGGGGUGAUGGCCUACCAAGGCGACGACGGGUAGCCGGCCUGAGAGGGUGACCGGCCACACUGGGACUGAGAUACGGUCCAGACUCCUACGGGAGGCAGCAGUGGGGAAUAUUGCACAAUGGGCGCAAGCCUGAUGCAGCGACGCCGCGUGAGGGAUGACGGCCUUCGGGUUGUAAACCUCUUUCAGCAUCGACGAAGCGAAAGUGACGGUAGGUGCAGAAGAAGGACCGGCCAACUACGUGCCAGCCGCCGCAGUAA
Molecule: ribosomal RNA, 478 nt
Filed under: uncultured bacterium
Lineage: Bacteria
Description: partial 16S ribosomal RNA
Rfam family: Bacterial small subunit ribosomal RNA
Source: RNAcentral